RNAcentral lists this unclassified non-coding RNA (352 nucleotides) under soil metagenome. Its description in RNAcentral is "partial contains 5.8S ribosomal RNA, internal transcribed spacer 2, and large subunit ribosomal RNA". The stretch from base 1 to 120 matches the Rfam family "5.8S ribosomal RNA", at positions 35 to 154 of the family's 154-position model. The record is from RNAcentral.
GAUGAAGAACGCAGCGAAAUGCGAUAAGUAAUGUGAAUUGCAGAAUUCAGUGAAUCAUCGAAUCUUUGAACGCACAUUGCGCCCGCCAGUAUUCUGGCGGGCAUGCCUGUUCGAGCGUCAUUACAACCCUCAGGCCCCCGGGCCUGGCGUUGGGGAUCGGCGGAGCCCCCCGUGGGCACACGCCGUCCCCCAAAUGCAGUGGCGGUCCCGCCGCAGCUUCCAUCGCGUAGUAGCUAACACCUCGCGACUGGAGAGCGGCGCGGCCACGCCGUAAAACACCCAACUCUUCUGAAGUUGACCUCGAAUCAGGUAGGAAUACCCGCUGGACUUAAGCAUAUCAAUAAGCGGAGGA